Molecule: long non-coding RNA, 3452 nt
Filed under: Marmota monax (woodchuck)
Lineage: Eukaryota; Metazoa; Chordata; Mammalia; Rodentia; Sciuridae
Source: RNAcentral
AGAUCAUAUGACUUAAGAAAUUUAUCUAUGCCUUCACUAUCUUCUAAUUUAUUGGAGUAUAAGGAUUCAAAAUAAUUUUUGAUUAUCUUCUGUAUUUCUGAAGUGUCUGUUGUGAUAUUGCCUUUUUCAUCCCGUAUGCUAGUAAUUUGAGUUCUCUCUCUUCUUCUCUUCGCUAGCAUGGCUAAGGGUCUGUCGAUUUUGUUUAUUUUUUCAAAGAACCAACUUUUAGUUUUGUCAAUUUUUUCAAUUGUUUCUUUUGUUUCGAUUUCAUUAAUUUCAGCUCUGAUUUUAAUUAUUUCUUGCCUUCUACUUCUUUUGCUGUUGUUUUGCUCUUCUUUUUCUAGGAUUUUGAGAUGAAGUAUGAGAUCAUUUAUUUGUUGGUUUUUUCUUUUUUUAAGGAAUGAACUCCAAGCAAUGAAUUUUCCUCUUAGAACUGCUUUCAAUGUGUCCCAUAGAUUCCGAUAUGUUGUGUCUGUGUUUUCAUUUAUCUCUAAGAAUUUUUUAAUUUCCUCCUUGAUGUCUUCUAUAACCCAUUGAUCAUUCAGUAACCUAUUGUUCAUUCUCCAAGUGAUGUAUGCUUUUUCCUUCCUUCUUUUAUCGUUGAUUUUCAGUUUCAUUCCAUUAUGAUCAGAUAAGAUGCAUGGUAUUAUCUCUACUCCUUUAUAUUGUCUAAGAGUUGCCCUGUGACAUAAUAUAUGAUCUAUUUUUGAGAAGAAUCCAUGUGCUGCUGAGAAAAAAGUGUAACUGCUUGAUGUUGGGUGGUAUAUUCUAUAUAUGUCAAUUAAGUCUAGGUUAUUAAUUGUGUUAUUGAGUUCUAUAGUUUCCUUAUUCAACUUUUGUUUGGAAGAUCUGUCCAGUGGCGAGAGAGGUGUGUUGAAGUCUCCCAUGAUUAUUGUAUGGUGGUCUAUUAGACUCUUGAACUUGAGAAGAGUUUGUUUGAUGAACAUAGCUGCACCAUUGUUUGGGGCAUAUAUAUUUAUGAUUGUUAUGUCUUGUUGGUGUAUGGUUCCCUUGAGCAGUAUGUAGUGUCCCUCUUUAUCCCUUUUGAUUAACUUUGGCUUGAAAUCUAUUUUAUUUGAUAUGAGUAUGGACACUCCUGCUUGUUUCCGAAGUCCAUAUGAGUGAUAUGAUUUUUCCCAACCUUUCACCUUCAGCCUAUGUAUGUCUUUUCCUAUCAAAUGCGUCUCCUGUAGGCAGCAUAUUGUUGGGUCUUGUUUUGUGAUCCAUUCUACUAGCCUGUGUCUCUUAAUUGGUGAGUUUAAGCCAUUAACAUUUAGGGUUAUUAUUGAGAUAUGGGUUGUUCUUCCAGCCAUAUUUGUUUAUUUAUGUUACUUAACAUGGUUUGUUUUUCCUCUUUGAUUAUUUUUCCCUUUACUGUACUACCUUACACUGUUGGUUUUCAUUGUUAUUUUCCAUUUCCUCUUCCUGUAAUGUUUUGCCAAGGAUGUUUUGAAGAGAUGGUUUUCUAGCUGCAAAUUCUUUUAACUUUUGUUUAUCGUGAAAGGUUUUAAUUUCCUCUUCCAUCCUGAAGCUUAAUUCUGCUGGAUACACAAUUCUUGGUUAGAACCCAUUUUCUUUCAGCAUUUGAAAUAUGUUGUUCCAGGAUCUUCUAGCUUUCAGUGUCUGUGUUGAAAGAUCAGCUGUUAUCCUGGUUGGUUUACCCCUAAAUGUAAUCUGCUUCCUUUCUCUUGAAGCUUUUAGAAUUUUCUCCUUAUUCUGUAUAUUGGGCACCUUCAUUAUAAUGUGUCUAGGUGUGGAUCUCUUAUGAUUUUGCACAUUUGGCGUCCUGUAGGCUUCUAGGAUUUGGGAUUCUGUCUCAUUCUUCAAGUCUGGGAAGUUUUCUCGUAUUAUUUCGUUGAACAGAUUGCUCAUUCCUUUGGUUUGGACCUCUAUACCUUCCUGUAUCCCAAUGACUCUUAAGUUUGGUCUCUUUAUGUUAUCCCAAAUUUCUUGGAUGUUUUGCUCAUGGUUUCUUAACAGUCUCUCUGAGCUGUCUAUGUUCUUUUCAAGUUGAAAUACUUUGUCUUCAUUGUCUGAUGUUCUAUCUUCUAGGUGUUCUACUCUGCUGGCAGUAUUCUCAUUUGAGUUUUUAAGUUGGUUUAUUGCUUCCUGCAUUUCUAGGAUUUCUGUUUGUUUGUUUUUUAUAACCUCUAUCUCCCUGUAUAGUUGAUCUUUUGCUUCUUGGAUUUGUUUAUGUAACUCAUUGUCGAAGUGAUCUUUCAUUGUCUGAUUUUGCUGUCUAAUGUCUUCCUUGAGACUCCAGAUCAUCUGAAGCAUGUAAAUUCUGAAUUCUUUAUCUGACAUUCCAUCUGCUGCAGCUAUUACCUCUUCUAAAGUUGAGUUGACCUGCAUUGCUUGUGGUCCUUUCUUUCCGUGUCUUUUCAUACUGCUUGCAUUUCUUUCUGCUUGGUGAGACUGUUGUGUUAUUGAAUUAUCCCCCUAUAUAUUUAUAUUGCUCUUGUAUAGUUGCAAAGUCUCCCUUGCAGGGGCGGGCGGCGACUGUGCUCCUCCUCCAAUUGGGGUGAUCUAUCUUGCCGGCGGGCCGCUGGGCCCCUUCUCCAGAUCGCGUGGUCUGCCUACCUUGCGGGCAACAGCUGGGCCCCUCCUCCAAUAGGGAUGAUCUGUCUACCACGCUGGCAGGCCGCUGGGCCUGUUCUCCAGGUUGCAGGUCUGCCUACCUUGCAGGUGCAGACGGUGGCUGUGCCCCUCCUCUAAUUGGGGCGAUCUUUCAACUAGGCCUGCGUGCCGCCGGGCCCCUUCUCCAGGACGCACGGUCUGUCUACCUUGUGGGCAGCAGCUGGGACCUUUCUCCAAUUGGGGCAAUGUGUCUACCACGCUGGCGGGCCGCUGGGCCUGCUCCGUCGGUCGGUCGCAGGUCCCACCUUGCAGGCGUGGGAAGCGGCUCUACUCCGCACCUCCUCCAAUUGGGGCGAUGUGUCUACCACACCGGCAGGCCGCUGGGCCUGCUCCGCUGGUCGGUCGCAGGUCUGCCCACCUUACAGGCAUAGGCGGCGUCUCUGCUCCGCCCCUCCUCCAAUUGGGGCAAUGUGUCUACCACGCCGGCGGGCUGCUGGUCUCGAAAGUAUAUUCUUAGACAAAAUUUUGCUGGAUAAAUGUUUUUGGACCAGUUUAAAUGCCUUAGUAGAUAAUCAAGGGAAAGGAGGAAAAGUGACAUUUUAUAAUAAAAAUGAAGUAUUUUAUUCUACUAUUUUUCUUAUCCCCACAUCCCCUGCCUUCUCCUCCUUUCACUUUCCUCUACCUAAUCUAAGGUAAUGUUAUUAUUAUUUUUUUUCAUUACUGUAUGUGACUGCAUGACCAAUGUGAUUCUACAAUAUAUAUACUCAGAAAAAUGAGAAAUUAUAUCCCAACUAUGUAUAAUACAUCAAAGUAUAUAAGUGCAUUCUACUGCCAUGUAUAACUAAUUAAAACAAAAAAAAUAAAAAUGAAGUAGU